UGCCCCGUCGUCUAAUGGCAGGACAGCGGCCUUUGAAGCCGUUAAUCUUGGUUCGAAUCCAAGCGGGGCAU
RNAcentral lists this transfer RNA (71 nucleotides) under Pseudomonadales bacterium. RNAcentral describes it as "tRNA-Gln". It matches the Rfam family "tRNA". Rfam says of the family: Transfer RNA (tRNA) molecules are approximately 80 nucleotides in length. Their secondary structure includes four short double-helical elements and three loops (D, anti-codon, and T loops). Further hydrogen bonds mediate the characteristic L-shaped molecular structure. tRNAs have two regions of fundamental functional importance: the anti-codon, which is responsible for specific mRNA codon recognition, and the 3' end, to which the tRNAs corresponding amino acid is attached (by aminoacyl-tRNA synthetases). tRNAs cope with the degeneracy of the genetic code in two manners: having more than one tRNA (with a specific anti-codon) for a particular amino acid; and 'wobble' base-pairing, i.e. permitting non-standard base-pairing at the 3rd anti-codon position. Lineage: Bacteria; Pseudomonadati; Pseudomonadota; Gammaproteobacteria; Pseudomonadales. The record is from RNAcentral. RNAcentral also lists the same sequence under 1 other name.